AUAGAAUGAAAUAUUUGUCAGAAUAAUUAAUAGAUGGCAGGCAGCCUAAUUAAAGUCUAAUUAGGCAUUAACGAAUAGCACAGCUCUUAAAAUUCCCUCACAAGACAAAUUAAUCAUGGCAAGAUAGUUUCCUUGCUAUUAAUUAAUACGACUUUGACAAAUUUGAGAGAGUGUCUGUAAUCUGCAUUAGUUGGUAAGCGGCGUCUUGACGACGAGUACCACAAUAUGGAAACAAGGCAAGUGCUUUCGCUUUUGUAAAUUGCCUUGCCAUUACUAAUCUUAUCGUUCAUUUUUAAACAAGAGAGAAUCUAGAUGAGUAUCCUUGACAAUUUAGCCUUUAUUUAUUUCGCUCCGACCAUGUUGGACCCGGUGGUUUCAGUCAUGUAUCCUCCGGGCCUUCCACAAACAGUGAGCAAUGUCCGAGCUCAAUUCAUCUUCAAGGGGAAGAAGAAGGGGUUGUUUUCCUUGGAUUUUGUUUGUGCCCUUCUUCAUCGCUAUGAAGAUUAGAUUUGCUGGACCUGCUGCACUAGCAAUCUUGCGUAAGAUCCCACGAUCGGUUUGAGAUUCCCACUCUCCAGCAGCCAGUUGAAAGCGGUGUGAUCAUUCUUGACAUUUAGUCCAUUGCCCACGUAUAAUAAAGGAGUAUACGAUACCUAAUCAAGCUGUGAAGUGGUUGAAUUUUCUGGCAAUUGGGUCAUGUACAAAGUUCUUGAGAAGUGUGGAAUAAAU
RNAcentral lists this long non-coding RNA (729 nucleotides) under Populus tremula. RNAcentral's name for it is "long non-coding RNA (PTRE_LNC000007)". The record is from RNAcentral. Lineage: Eukaryota; Viridiplantae; Streptophyta; Magnoliopsida; Malpighiales; Salicaceae.